This is a long non-coding RNA of Brassica oleracea var. oleracea, 1641 nucleotides long. RefSeq lists it as uncharacterized. The record is from RefSeq and is a predicted model, not a curated record. NCBI's taxonomy places the organism in Eukaryota, Viridiplantae, Streptophyta, Magnoliopsida, Brassicales, Brassicaceae. The transcript is spliced from 9 exons.
CAGUCCUCAGAUCAUCCUAACAUGGAUCUUAGGAAGGAAGGCGGUGGCUACACAGAGCCCGACCCCUUCUUCUUCUUCGUGAAAAAGCUUCUGAAGCCCAGAAAAAGGAAGCAGCUUUAUAUUAAAUCUACGAGAUUUUUCAUCAGGUAAAUGACCCUAAAGCGAGCUUCUUUCACGUCUUCCCUUUUCAUCGUCUCAUCGUUCCAGCUCCAUAUCUAUCACCCUCCCCCAUUCUCUGUUCAUCUCAAAGGUCAAUUUCCUCUACCUCUAUCUCUCUUUGGGCCAUUCAAUCGUGUUCCGGAAACGCUCUUGAUGCUGCAUAGCGUAUUAGCCGUGAAGCUGAACGCCGAGGCUGUCCUGCGUCUAUCGUCUCCAACGACAAAUUCGACUCGAGUUCCUUGCCUCAUGAGGACGCUAUUCUUUUUGUUGUAUCCACUACAGGGAAAGGAGACUCUCCAGAUUCUUUUAAGGUUCGUUGUCAAUUUUCACUACCAAUAAUGCAGUUUUUUGCGUACUUUAUUUUUUGUUCCUUGUCCUUUUUUUUUUUAAUCACUGAAGGAGUUUUGGAGGUUUCUUCUUCAAAGAAACUUGGGAAACUCUUGGUUGCAACGAGUUUGCUUUGCAGUGUUUGGGCUAGGUGAUUCAGGUUACCAGAAGUACAAUUUUGUAACAAAGAAGCUAGACAAAAGAUUACUAGAUCUUGGGGCCACAACCAUCAUCGAGAAAGGUCUAGGAGAUGAUCAACACCCAUCAUGGUAUGAAGCAAUAUGUUGUCUUUGUGGAGUAUUUUAUAUCAGAUCAAGCCCAUAUACUUUCCUAAUGGUCCAGAAGUGGUGAUUCUUGACAUAUUUGUUGAUUGGUGUUAUUUGAGAAGGAUCAUUGAUUACUCCCUGAAAAAAAACUCGAGCUUUCAGAUUACCGGAAUUAAUACAUCGUUUUACUUCAAUCGAUGGGAGCAGUGGCUGCGUGGCUUGCUACAGAGAACCCAGAUCAACUAAAACUUCUCUAAAUGAUCCACUUUCCAAUUCUGUAGCUCAAACGGUUAAGAAACCGAGCGUCUCUGAAAAAUUCUGGUCAACAAGCACAUUUGAUAUGGACAACAUCACCUUUCCUUCUCAAGGAGGAAGCAUAUCAUCCAGCUAGACUUUUGAAUCUCAAUCUGCUUCCAGAAACUCAAAUCCCCUGCCUGAGUUUGUAAACCAAGGCCUUCUUCUUUGGAAUCAGACAAGUGAGCUUUGUGUGGGAAAAGAAAGACCUAAUACAACCCACCGGAUCGCAAUCAAGGAUCCAAGAUAUAAAUUGGAACGCAGCAUCGUAUGAUAGCCUUAAGAACGCUGAAGUAAUGAGUCCACUGAUCAUCGUCUCCCAUUGUCCCCAUGAUGGAGGUCUACUUUUCUUUAUGGGACGAAGCUGCAUCAAUGUUUAGGGGUCUCCUUAAUUCAGGGGAUAGAACUUAAUCUGUCAAUGUGGUCACAAGUGUGAUCCCAAAAAAAUUGGAGGAGCUGCAUUAUGGAAUGGUGCAGUGAGAAGCAAGAAUGCCCAUUUUGUCGUACACCCAACACCCAUUCGAGUUUAUUUUGUUUGUACAACUCUGAUUUUUAAGCUCAAAUGAAGAUCAACAAGGACACAACAGUGCAAAAA